This 257-nucleotide unclassified non-coding RNA is filed under the name uncultured fungus. RNAcentral's name for it is "sequence contains ITS2". The record is from RNAcentral. Lineage: Eukaryota; Fungi.
AACGCACAUUGCGCCCGUUAGUAUUCUGACGGGCAUGCCUGUUCGAGCGUCAUUUCAAACCUCAAGCCCCUGUGGACUUGGCUUUGGGGCUUCUGCUAGGCUUUAUGCUGCAGGCCCUUAAAACCGACGGCAGACCUGUUAGGCCUCUGAGCGCAGUAAACUUUCUCGCUUCUGGGUUCCUAGCAGGCACUCUCGCCUCAAUCUUACUUUAUAAUCAGUUUGACCUCGGAUCAGGUAGGAAUACCCGCUGAACUUAA